RNAcentral lists this ribosomal RNA (477 nucleotides) under uncultured soil bacterium. Its description in RNAcentral is "bacterial SSU rRNA". It matches the Rfam family "Bacterial small subunit ribosomal RNA", at positions 26 to 519 of the family's 1533-position model. The record is from RNAcentral.
AGAUUGAACGCUGGCGGCAUGCCUUACACAUGCAAGUCGAACGGCAGCACGGGAGCAAUCCUGGUGGCGAGUGGCGAACGGGUGAGUAAUACAUCGGAACGUGCCCAAUCGUGGGGGAUAACGCAGCGAAAGCUGUGCUAAUACCGCAUAAGAUCUACGGAUGAAAGCAGGGGAUCGCAAGACCUUGCGCGAAUGGAGCGGCCGAUGGCAGAUUAGGUAGUUGGUGAGGUAAAGGCUCACCAAGCCUUCGAUCUGUAGCUGGUCUGAGAGGACGACCAGCCACACUGGGACUGAGACACGGCCCAGACUCCUACGGGAGGCAGCAGUGGGGAAUUUUGGACAAUGGGCGAAAGCCUGAUCCAGCCAUGCCGCGUGCAGGAUGAAGGCCUUCGGUGUAAACCUCUUUAGCAGGAAGAAGCGAAAGUGACGGUACCUGACAGAAAAAGCAACCGGCUAAACUAGUCGCCAGCAGCCGUA